This 254-nucleotide ribosomal RNA is filed under the name uncultured bacterium. RNAcentral's name for it is "partial 16S ribosomal RNA". It matches the Rfam family "Bacterial small subunit ribosomal RNA", at positions 524 to 776 of the family's 1533-position model. The record is from RNAcentral.
UACGAAGGGGGGCUAGCGUUGUUCGGAAUUACUGGGCGUAAAGCGUGCGCAGGCGGUUCGUUGUGUCGGCGGUGAAAGCCCCGGGCUUAACCUGGGAAUGGCCGUUGAAACUGGCGAACUGGAGUGUGGCAGAGGGGGGUGGAAUUCCGCGUGUAGCAGUGAAAUGCGUAGAGAUGCGGAGGAACACCGAUGGCGAAGGCAGCCCCCUGGGCUAACACUGACGCUCAGGCACGAAAGCGUGGGGAGCAAACAGG